RNAcentral lists this ribosomal RNA (1964 nucleotides) under human gut metagenome. RNAcentral's name for it is "bacterial LSU rRNA". It matches the Rfam family "Bacterial large subunit ribosomal RNA", at positions 1 to 1977 of the family's 2925-position model. The record is from RNAcentral.
UUAAGUGAACAAGGGCAUACGGCGGAUGCCUUGGCGCCAAGAGCCGAAGAAGGACGCGGUAAGCUGCGAAAAGGCAUGGGUAGGAGCAAGCAUCCUGUGAUCCAUGCAUAUCCGAAUGGGGCAACCCACCAUCAGUCAUGUGAUGGUACGAAAGAGGCAGACCUGGGGAACUGAAACAUCUAAGUACCCAGAGGAAAAGUAAUCAAUUGAGAUUCCCUAAGUAGCGGCGAGCGAAAGGGGAAGAGCCCAAACCAGAUAACUUCGGUUGUCUGGGGUUGAGGACCGGCAUAAAGAGGAAACUUCUUAGUCGAAUGGUUUGGAAAGGCCAUGCAUAGAAGGUAAAACACCUGUAGGCGAAAAGAAGUCAAUCGGGCUGGUAUCCAGAGUACUGCGAGACACGUGAAACCUUGCAGGAAGCAGGGGGGACCACCCUCCAAGGCAAAAUACUACUUGGCGACCGAUAGCGCAUAGUACCGUGAGGGAAAGGUGAAAAGAACCCCGGGAGGGGAGUGAAAUAGAACCUGAAACCGUAUGUCUACAAGCAGUCGAAGCACCUUAAGAGUGCGACGGCGUGCCUAUUGAAGAAUGAACCGGCGAGUUACAUUAUGUUGCGAGGUUAAGUGGGAGACACGGAGCCGAAGCGAAAGCGAGUCUUAAUAGGGCGACUAGUAACAUGGUGUAGACCCGAAACCGCAGUGAUCUAUCCAUGGUCAGGUUGAAGCGCAGGUAAAAAUGCGUGGAGGACCGAACCCGUGAGUGUUGAAAAACUUUGGGAUGAACCGUGGAUAGGGGUGAAAUGCCAAUCGAACGCGGAGAUAGCUGGUACUCCCCGAAAUAGCUUUAGGGCUAGCCUCAGGGAAGAUUAUAGACGGUAGAGCACUGAUCUGGCAAGGGGGCGUAAAGCCUACCGACCCUAGUCAAACUUCGAAUGGCUAUAAUUAAGACCCUGGGAGUCAGACUGCGAGUGAUAAGACCCGUAGUCAAGAGGGAAACAGCCCAGACCGCCGACUAAGGUCCCCAAUGCUGUACUAAGUGGAAAAGGAUGUAAGACUUCAUAAACAACCAGGAUGUUGGCUUAGAAGCAGCCACCAUUAAAAGAGUGCGUAAUAGCUCACUGGUCGAGAGGCCUUGCGCCGAAGAUGUCCGGGGCUCAAGUACAGAACCGAAGUCGCGGCAGGAUUUAUAAUUCUGGGUAGGGGAGCGUUGUAUAUCCGACUGAAGGUGUACCGGAAGGAGCGCUGGAGGAUAUACAAGAGAGAAUGCCGGUAUGAGUAGCGAAAAGAACAGUGAGAAUCUGUUCCACCGAAAGCCUAAGGUUUCCUGAGCAACGCUCGUCGACUCAGGGUAAGUCGGGACCUAAGCCGAGGCAAAAAGCAUAGGCGAUGGACAACAGGUUAAUAUUCCUGUACCGCUUCAAAUCGUUUGAGCAAUGGAGUGACACAGAAGGUAGCUUGAGCACGCGAAUGGAUGUGCGUGUCGAAGGUGGUAGGUUGCAGUAUAGGCAAAUCCGUACUGUAUAAGAUCGAGAACUGAUAGAUAGACGAUACUUCGGUAAAGUCAAAUUCAAGUGAGCCAUGCUGUCGAGAAAAGCUUCUAGUGAGAGAUGAGGCGCCCGUACCGAAACCGACACAGGUAGGCGGGGAGAGAAUCCUAAGGUGCGCGGGACAACCCUCGUUAAGGAACUCGGCAAAUUGUAUCCGUAACUUAGGGAUAAGGAUAGCCGGAGGAUGUGAAGGGAUUUACUUCUGGAGCGUCAGCCGGUGGCACAAGAGAGGCCCAAGCGACUGUUUAGCACAAACACAGGUGCCUGCAAAAGAGAAAUCUGACGUAUAGGUGCUGACACCUGCCCGGUGCUGGAAGGUUAAGAGGAGGGCUUAGAGGCAACUCGAAGGCUUGAAUUGAAGCCCCAGUAAACGGCGGCCGUAACUAUAACGGUCCUAAGGUAGCGAAAUUCCUUGUCGGGU